RNAcentral lists this transfer RNA (66 nucleotides) under Sinomantis denticulata. RNAcentral describes it as "tRNA-Leu". It matches the Rfam family "tRNA". From Rfam's summary of the family: Transfer RNA (tRNA) molecules are approximately 80 nucleotides in length. Their secondary structure includes four short double-helical elements and three loops (D, anti-codon, and T loops). Lineage: Eukaryota; Metazoa; Arthropoda; Insecta; Mantodea; Nanomantidae. The record is from RNAcentral.
UCUAAUAUGGCAGAUUAGUGCAAUGGAUUUAAGCUCCAUAAAUAAAGUUUUCGACUUUUUUUAGAA